RNAcentral lists this long non-coding RNA (555 nucleotides) under Rhinopithecus bieti (black snub-nosed monkey). Its description in RNAcentral is "lncRNA (ENSRBIG00000046450.1)". The record is from RNAcentral. Lineage: Eukaryota; Metazoa; Chordata; Mammalia; Primates; Cercopithecidae.
GCUGCUCUUCAGCAUAGCAAAUGCACCCGCCUGUUCUGCCUGCUGCUUAGCAGUCAUAGCCUGCCUAGGGUCACUUUCAGAGUCAAGGUGUGUUUGGGGAGGAUGGCUGCACACUCCAAGCUGCAAGAACUAUUAUGACUUCAGAGGCCAGGAGACAUCAUGCGCAGCCCGCAAGGGAUGUGUCUGCUGCUCUAAGGUCCAGAACAUUGUCUCUGUGACCCAUGACUACAUCCUACUGUGCCGUUCCACAGGUAGCUGUGACAACAGUCCUGGCAAAAGUGCAAGUCUACUGGGAAUUUCUAGGAAUGUUCGACUUUCCUAAUCAGAAACCACCUUCCCUUCUCACCUCAUCUUCCUACCUGGAAUGCAGUUGCUACUGUGUUUGGGUUUUUCUGUUACCUGCAGCCAAACACAAUCCUGAUAUGACUGGUUUUACAGAAAUUCAGGUAAGGAAGCUGUGAGAAUGUGAUCACCCACUCUGGACAGAGGUGGUGCGAUGAAGUCUUCACAGCUAGAAGUCAGGAAACUUCCCGUCUUGUCUGUAUAACUUCAUGC